This 475-nucleotide ribosomal RNA is filed under the name uncultured bacterium. Its description in RNAcentral is "bacterial SSU rRNA". It matches the Rfam family "Bacterial small subunit ribosomal RNA", at positions 29 to 525 of the family's 1533-position model. The record is from RNAcentral.
AUUGAACGCUGGCGGAAUGCUUUACACAUGCAAGUCGAGCGGCAGCGCGGGGCAACCUGGCGGCGAGCGGCGAACGGGUGAGUAAUACAUCGGAACGUGCCCAGACGUGGGGGAUAACUACUCGAAAGAGUGGCUAAUACCGCAUACGAUCUAAGGAUGAAAGCGGGGGAUCGCAAGACCUCGCGCGUUUGGAGCGGCCGAUGGCAGAUUAGGUAGUUGGUGGGGUAAAGGCUUACCAAGCCCGCGAUCUGUAGCUGGUCUGAGAGGAUGAUCAGCCACACUGGGACUGAGACACGGCCCAGACUCCUACGGGAGGCAGCAGUGGGGAAUCUUGCGCAAUGGGGGCAACCCUGACGCAGCCAUGCCGCGUGAAUGAUGAAGGCCUUAGGGUUGUAAAGUUCUUUUGCCCGUGACGAUGAUGACGGUAACGGGAGAAUAAGCUCCGGCUAACUUCGUGCCAGCAGCCGCGGUAAUG